AUUCCUAAACUGUUAGUAACAAAACUCCCACAAUCAAUCCCAACCUUCCUUUUGUCGUCAUAAACCUUGUGUCAAAAUUUCAUAGAUUUCUAUUUACUUAAACUAAAGUUAUAGUGCGAAAACCAAGAAAAUGCUUAUUUGGGCCCUUUUUGGCCCCUAAUUCCGAAAAUGUUGGGACCAAAACUCCCAAAAUCAAUCCCAACCUUCCUUUUGUGGUUAUAAACCUUGUGUUUAAAUUUCAUAGAUUUCUAUUCCCUUUUACUAAAGUUAGAGUGCGAAAACUAAAAGAAUUCAGAAAACGACGACGACGCAGACGACGCCGCCAACAUGAUACCAAUAUACGACUAAAAAAAUUUCAAUUUUUGCGGUCGUAUAAAAAUGACAAAUACAAUUAUAUUGCUAACAAUACUAACAAAUUGAAAGUAGCUAUGUCACAACGGUCUGAUUCUAGUUCUAGAAAAUUUAUGACAUACAUGUAUCAUCAAUAAACAAGAUCACAGCAAAUUUCACUGUGACAUGUGUAUCACUAUUAACUCUAUUUGCAAUCACUAAAACCAUUAGAAUGCAGUAACCCUUAUUGGUAUUACAUUACCAUUGAGAAAAAUAUAAAAA
This 612-nucleotide long non-coding RNA is filed under the name Mytilus galloprovincialis (Mediterranean mussel). Lineage: Eukaryota; Metazoa; Mollusca; Bivalvia; Mytilida; Mytilidae. The record is from RNAcentral.